This 415-nucleotide RNase P RNA is filed under the name Roseburia sp. CAG:197_41_10. Its description in RNAcentral is "RNase P RNA component class A". It matches the Rfam family "Bacterial RNase P class A". Rfam says of the family: Ribonuclease P (RNase P) is a ubiquitous endoribonuclease, found in archaea, bacteria and eukarya as well as chloroplasts and mitochondria. Its best characterised activity is the generation of mature 5'-ends of tRNAs by cleaving the 5'-leader elements of precursor-tRNAs. Cellular RNase Ps are ribonucleoproteins. Lineage: Bacteria; Bacillati; Bacillota; Clostridia; Lachnospirales; Lachnospiraceae. The record is from RNAcentral.
UGUGCAGGACAGGUGAUCGCGGCUGCAAGUGUCGAAAGACCGCAGGUGAGGAAAGUCCGGGCUUCAUAGGGCAGGAUGCCGGUUAACGGCCGGUGGAGGAAACUCUAAGGAAAGUGCAACAGAAAUAUACCGCUAUAAGGAGCACAUGCCAUGCAAUUUCCCCUUCGGGGAAGGCAUGUACGUAGGAGAUGCAUCAUAGAUGCAUCUCAAUAGUAAGGGUGGAAUGGCAGUGUAAGAGACUACCGCCUCGCUGGUAACAGAGAGGGCACAUGUAAACCCCAUUCGAAGCAAGACCGAAACAAAGCUUUGACGUGGCCCGCUAGCUUUAGGUAGGUCGCUUGAGGCGGCUGGUAACAGUCGUCCUAGAUAGAUGAUCACUCAACGACAUAACCCGGCUUAUCGUCUUGCGCAAUGU